This 460-nucleotide ribosomal RNA is filed under the name uncultured bacterium. Its description in RNAcentral is "partial 16S ribosomal RNA". It matches the Rfam family "Bacterial small subunit ribosomal RNA", at positions 338 to 795 of the family's 1533-position model. The record is from RNAcentral.
CCUACGGGAGGCAGCAGUGAGGAAUAUUGGUCAAUGGACGAGAGUCUGAACCAGCCAAGUAGCGUGAAGGAUGACUGCCCUAUGGGUUGUAAACUUCUUUUAUAUGGGAAUAAAACGUUCCACGUGUGGGAUUUUGUAUGUACCAUAUGAAUAAGGAUCGGCUAACUCCGUGCCAGCAGCCGCGGUAAUACGGAGGAUCCGAGCGUUAUCCAGAUUUAUUGGGUUUAAAGGGAGCGUAGGUGGAUUGUUAAGUCAGUUGUGAAAGUUUGCGGCUCAACCGUAAAAUUGCAGUUGAAACUGGCAGUCUUGAGUACAGUAGAGGUGGGCGGAAUUCGUGGUGUAGCGGUGAAAUGCUUAGAUAUCACGAAGAACUCCGAUUGCGAAGGCAGUUCACUGGACUGCAACUGACACUGAGGCUCGAAAGUGUGGGUAUCAAACAGGAUUAGAUACCCCAGUAGUC